ACGGCUCAGUAACACGUGGACAACCUAACCUAUGGAGGGGGAUAACCCGGGAAACUGGGGAUAAUACCCCAUAGACUAUGGAUGCUGGAAUGCUCUGUAGUUGAAAGGUCCGCCGCCAUAGGAUGGGUCUGCGGCCGAUUAGGUUGUUGUUGGGGUAACGGCCCAACAAGCCUGUAAUCGGUACGGGUUGUGGGAGCAAGAGCCCGGAGAUGGAUUCUGAGACACGAAUCCAGGCCCUACGGGGCGCAGCAGGCGCGAAAACUUUACAAUGCGGGAAACCGUGAUAAGGGAACUCCGAGUGCCCGUAAAAUCGGGCUGUCCAUCUGUUUAAAUAACAGGUGAAGAAAGGGCCGGGCAAGACCGGUGCCAGCCGCCGCGGUAAUACCGGCGGCUCGAGUGGUGGCCACUAUUACUGGGCUUAAAGCGUUCGUAGCUGGUUUGUUAAGUCUCUGGGGAAAUCUGCCGGCUCAACCGGCAGGCGUUCCAGGGAUACUGGCAGACUAGGGACCGGGAGAGGUGAGGGGUACUCCAGGGGUAGGAGUGAAAUCCUGUAAUCCUUGGGGGACCACCUGUGGCGAAGGCGCCUCACCAGAACGGCUCCGACAGUGAGGGACGAAAGCUGGGGGAGCAAACCGGAUUAGAUACCCGGGUAGUCCCAGCCGUAAACGAUGCGCGUUAGGUGUAUCGGUGACCACGAGUCACCGAGGUGCCGAAGAGAAAU
RNAcentral lists this ribosomal RNA (721 nucleotides) under uncultured Methanomicrobiaceae archaeon. RNAcentral's name for it is "bacterial SSU rRNA". It matches the Rfam family "Archaeal small subunit ribosomal RNA", at positions 85 to 812 of the family's 1478-position model. The record is from RNAcentral. Lineage: Archaea; Methanobacteriati; Methanobacteriota; Methanomicrobia; Methanomicrobiales; Methanomicrobiaceae.